UACGUAGGGUGCAAGCGUUGUCCGGAAUUAUUGGGCGUAAAGAGCUCGUAGGCGGUUUGUCGCGUCGAAUGUGAAAACCCGGGGCUCAACCCCGGGCCUGCAUUCGAUACGGGCAGACUAGAGUUCGGUAGGGGAGUCUGGAAUUCCUGGUGUAGCGGUGAAAUGCGCAGAUAUCAGGAGGAACACCGGUGGCGAAGGCGGCUACCUGGAGCUUUGCUGACGCUGAUGCGCGAAAGCGUGGGGAGCGAUCCGG
This 253-nucleotide ribosomal RNA is filed under the name uncultured bacterium. Its description in RNAcentral is "partial 16S ribosomal RNA". It matches the Rfam family "Bacterial small subunit ribosomal RNA", at positions 524 to 776 of the family's 1533-position model. The record is from RNAcentral.